This 406-nucleotide ribosomal RNA is filed under the name uncultured bacterium. RNAcentral describes it as "partial 16S ribosomal RNA". It matches the Rfam family "Bacterial small subunit ribosomal RNA", at positions 30 to 526 of the family's 1533-position model. The record is from RNAcentral.
AUUGAACGCUGGCGGCAGGCCUAACACAUGCAAGUCGAACGAGUGGCGGACGGGUGAGUAAUGUCUGGGAAACUGCCUGCUGGAGGGGGAUAACUCCUGGAAAAGGUAGCUAAUACCGCAUACCAUCCGAUGGGCCCAGCUGGGUUUAGCGUGUUGGUGGGGUAACGGCUCACCAAGGCGACGAUCCCUAGCUGGUCUGUGAGGAGGACCAGCCACACUGGGACUGAGACACGGUCCAUACUCCUACGGGAGGCAGCAGUGGGGAAUAUUGCACAAUUGCCGCAAGCCUGAUGGAGCCAUGCCGCGUGUAUGAAGAAGGCCUUCGGGUUGUAAAGUACUUUCAGCGGGGAGGCGUUACCCGCAGAGAAAGCACCGGCUAACUCCGUGCCAGCAGCCGCGGUAAUAC